ACCUAAAGUUUGACGAUUUGAUCCUUCGAUGUCGGCUCUUCCUAUCAUUGCGAAGCAGAAUUCGCCAAGCGUCGGAUUGUUCACCCGCCAAUAGGGAACGUGAGCUGGAUUUAGACCGUUGUGAGACAGGUU
RNAcentral lists this non-coding RNA (132 nucleotides) under Rhodnius prolixus. RNAcentral's name for it is "eukaryotic large subunit ribosomal RNA". It matches the Rfam family "Eukaryotic large subunit ribosomal RNA", at positions 2843 to 2984 of the family's 3401-position model. Lineage: Eukaryota; Metazoa; Arthropoda; Insecta; Hemiptera; Reduviidae. The record is from Rfam by way of RNAcentral.